This 253-nucleotide ribosomal RNA is filed under the name uncultured bacterium. Its description in RNAcentral is "partial 16S ribosomal RNA". It matches the Rfam family "Bacterial small subunit ribosomal RNA", at positions 524 to 776 of the family's 1533-position model. The record is from RNAcentral.
UACGUAGGGUGCAAGCGUUAAUCGGAAUUACUGGGCGUAAAGCGUGCGCAGGCGGUGAUGUAAGACAGUUGUGAAAUCCCCGGGCUCAACCUGGGAACUGCAUCUGUGACUGCAUCGCUGGAGUGCGGCAGAGGGGGAUGGAAUUCCGCGUGUAGCAGUGAAAUGCGUAGAGAUGUGGAGGAACACCGAUGGCGAAGGCAGCCCCCUGGGCUAACACUGACGCUCAGGCACGAAAGCGUGGGGAGCAAACAGG